CGUAAAACGCCGAGACAUGCUGCGCUGUAGCUAUAAAAACUGGCCGUAAACGUAGGAAGUUCCUCAAUCGUGGCGUGUCUGCAAGAAGACGUCAACCACGAUGCGGCUAAGAAAAGAAAUGAAUUGUUCCCGCCGACCACCAAAAGCCCAUCUUUGGACAAUGGAAUAAAGCCUGCAUAAUGUGUUCGCACUUAAUGCUGGCUCCAGGGGAAAAUGACUAGGUCCGUGUACAUCGGCUUCCAAAGGCCAAUGUAGGGGUGUUCUGUAUCACUAAAAUGUUGGGGCACUUCAUGUCGCUUUCAAAUGGUUGAUGUGUAUCCUGAAGUCUUUGGAGCACUUUCCAAUGGUUGGCGUGCACCCUGAUGUCUUUUCAAAGGGUGUGAUCUUAAGACUGUCCAGCAGAGGGAGCUCGUUACUCACUCAUGGCUGAGUUGAGUGGCACUCUUGAAGAUCCUGGAUGAAGAUGCAAGUUGAAGAUCCUGAGUAAAGAGCAAAGUCGAUGUUCUCCGGAUUGCAUGUCCUCACAGCUCGGUGGUGCAGCUCAAAACCGAAUGAACUCUGGUGCAUCGGAACUUUGACCUCCUAUGGGUUCUGGAAAUGGUACUUCCAGAUGAAUGCUUGACCGCUACUCCAGACAAGCGUGGCGCGUCAUCCACACCGUCACUGUACCCGCGUGCCGUGCCCAUGGGAUGUUUGUGCAGCAUAUGAAAAUGCCCUCCUGCUGAUGUGUUGAAUGUAAAGCGUGUGUAAGGUAUUUGUUCCUCACGUGUGCCCUGUGUCUUCCAUGUAACACUUAUUAAACAUUAAAAGCUCUGCAUCACA
Long non-coding RNA from Engraulis encrasicolus (European anchovy), 822 nucleotides. RefSeq lists it as uncharacterized. The transcript is spliced from 10 exons. The record is from RefSeq and is a predicted model, not a curated record. Lineage: Eukaryota; Metazoa; Chordata; Actinopteri; Clupeiformes; Engraulidae.